Molecule: ribosomal RNA, 454 nt
Filed under: uncultured organism
Description: partial 16S ribosomal RNA
Rfam family: Bacterial small subunit ribosomal RNA
Source: RNAcentral
CACUCCUGCGGGAGGCAGCAGUGGGGAAUAUUGCACAAUGGGCGCAAGCCUGAUGCAGCGACGCCGCGUGGGGGAUGAAGGCCUUCGGGUUGUAAACUCCUUUCGCUAGGGACGAAGCUUUUUUGUGACGGUACCUAGAUAAGAAGCACCGGCUAACUACGUGCCAGCAGCCGCGGUAAUACGUAGGGUGCGAGCGUUGUCCGGAAUUACUGGGCGUAAAGGGCUCGUAGGUGGUUUGUCGCGUCGUCUGUGAAAUUCUGGGGCUUAACUCCGGGCGUGCAGGCGAUACGGGCAUAACUUGAGUGCUGUAGGGGUAACUGGAAUUCCUGGUGUAGCGGUGAAAUGCGCAGAUAUCAGGAGGAACACCGAUGGCGAAGGCAGGUUACUGGGCAGUUACUGACGCUGAGGAGCGAAAGCAUGGGUAGCGAACAGGAUUAGAAACCCUUGUAGUCCC